AAUGUUGCUAUAAAAUAAUAUCACCAGAGCUGAAUGAAUGGCAGAAGAAUGCAACAACUGAGGAAAUGUUUCUCGCCUCAUACGGGAUGGAGAAGUUUUCUAAAUUCAAUUAUUGAUCUAAUUAAAUAUUGUGCUUCGAUUAUAAAAUAUUCAUUGAGAAUGAAAGCUAUAAUGUUUCAGAAUUUUUGUUUGUUCGAUAAUGUUUUAAUGAUGUUUUGUAUUUAUGCAGGCUAAUCAACUUGCUUUCGUCGUAAGCGUGGCGGCAGUCACGCUGUCGCAGAAACAAUUUUCUUCCUCCCAAUUUUUCCAUUCCGCUUGGUUAAAAACCUGGAAUGCAUGUACAAUUGCCUAUUGAUAUACCAUUUAAGCCUCCACCUAGGAGAGACCUAGGGAUCCUGUGGCAUUGCUUCCUAUUGACUCACUUCCUCUUAUUAACUUACUUUUAGUAGCAAGAUUCGAGGAACCAAAAAUACCCCCUCACAUUCCUCAGCCCAAGAAUCAAGAACUUUUUCUAAACAUCAUAUGGCUAGGCUCGCUGAGCUAUCUGUGCGAACAACAAACAAAGCAUACAAUCCAUUGAUUCUUAUUGAUACAAUGACUGGACUUAAAAGCUACGAAAAUUCAAGAAGUACUAAUGAUAUACUAAUCAUCUCCCCAUGCAUCUUCUUUCAAUUUUUUACUGUUAUGGACCACACUUACACUUUGUACUCCAAACAAAAACUUGUGCUCCUAAUGAUGCAGCAGACACAAUGCUUUGAGAAAGCGAUUUGAAGAGCUUGUAUAUGAACUUAAAAACGACCAAACUGAGAGUUUGUUUUGACGUUUCAGAGUUGUGGCUCAGCAAAAUAAGAGGAUUACUGAUGCUGAUCUCAGAGCAUUGGUAUCGGAUGAGUUUUUUUAGGCGGAGUCUAUCUGGAAGCUUGAUGAUAUGCAUGUUGGAGUUCAAGGGCUGUAAAUUCUGAAGCCUCAUAUCCAAAAAAAGUUCCUUCAUCAGUGGUAAUUGGCAACGGGGUUAAGGAACUUAUUGACGCAGUUGGAGGGGUUGGUCUUGAAGCUUGCAUAAUAUCAUGUAAGGAGAAUGUUGAUGAAGAAAUGACUAACUGUGAAAGCUCUGCUAAUGAAACACUAAGCGGUCUGAAGUUUUCUUAGUGAGCCAAGCUCAUUCAAAACAAUGUCAUGAUUUUUUUUAUUUGACUCUUUUUCCGACAGGUUGUUGUACAAGCUGUGCUAUUCGUGUAAAUAUUGAGAAGAUUAGACAGCCAGAGGCACUUGGGUUAUCUGCCGAAUUGAGAGAGCAGACAUGUGCAACUAUGUCUACAAAUAUUUUUGAUUGAAUUGGUCAUUUUGAUUUGUUUAGUAGGAAUGCAUGAUGAUUUGGUGGAAUUUCUUCGACGAUGCCAAAAGAGAGAAUCAGAUUUCUAUUUUACUCUAUUUUUUUCCUUCUAAAUUUGAAAAGUAAAAGAAGACAAUGAGGGUGAUAAACAAUAUACUUUAUGCAUGUUAC
Long non-coding RNA from Vicia villosa (hairy vetch), 1504 nucleotides. RefSeq lists it as uncharacterized. NCBI's taxonomy places the organism in Eukaryota, Viridiplantae, Streptophyta, Magnoliopsida, Fabales, Fabaceae. The record is from RefSeq and is a predicted model, not a curated record. The transcript has 6 exons.